This 159-nucleotide non-coding RNA is filed under the name Trissoscelio sp. ZL-2020. The record is from RNAcentral. Lineage: Eukaryota; Metazoa; Arthropoda; Insecta; Hymenoptera; Scelionidae.
AAUUAGAACUGCUGGGUUAAUCGUGUUACCGAAACGCAUUUGCGUGUAGCACCAUUUGUUAAAACUAACAAAACUAAUAUAAAAAAUGUGGUGUUUCUUAUCCGUAGUUUCACCGUUACAAAAAAAUGAAACGGAUUGCUCCCGGUAUUUUCUUUUUUU